CAGGCUUCCACAUGCAAGUCGAAGCGGCAGCGACACAUUGAACCUUCGGGGGAUUUGUUGGGCGGCGUAGCGGCGGACGGGUGUAGUAAUGCCUGGGAAAUUGCCCUGAUGUGGGGGAUAACCAUUGGAAACGAUGGCUAAUACCGCAUGAUAGCUUCGGCUCAAAGAGGGGGACCUUCGGGCCUCUCGCGUCAGGAUAUGCCCAGGUGGGAUUAGCUAGUUGGUGAGGUAAGGGCUCACCAAGGCGACGAUCCCUAGCUGGUCUGAGAGGAUGAUCAGCCACACUGGAACUGAGACACGGUCCAGACUCCUACGGGAGGCAGCAGUGGGGAAUAUUGCACAAUGGGCGCAAGCCUGAUGCAGCCAUGCCGCGUGUAUGAAGAAGGCCUUCGGGUUGUAAAGUACUUUCAGCAGUGAGGAAGGGGGUAUCGUUAAUAGCGGUAUCUUUUGACGUUAGCUGCAGAAGAAGCACCGGCUAACUCCGUGCCAGCAGCCGCGGUAAUACGGAGGGUGCGAGCGUUAAUCGGAAUUACUGGGCGUAAAGCGCAUGCAGGUGGUUUGUUAAGUCAGAUGUGAAAGCCCGGGGCUCAACCUCGGAAUUGCAUUUGAAACUGGCAGGCUAGAGUACUGUAGAGGGGGGGUAGAAUUUCAGGUUGUAGCGGGUGAAAUGCGUAGAGAUCUGAAAGGAAUACCGGUGGGCGAAAGGCGGGCCCCCUGGACAGAUACUGACACUCAGAUGCGAAAGCGGUGGGGAGCAAACAGGAUUAGAUACCCUGGUAGUCCACGCCGUAAACGAUGUCUACUUGGGAGGUUGUGGCCCUUGAGCCGUGGCUUUCGGAGCUAACGCGUUAA
RNAcentral lists this ribosomal RNA (852 nucleotides) under uncultured bacterium. RNAcentral's name for it is "bacterial SSU rRNA". It matches the Rfam family "Bacterial small subunit ribosomal RNA", at positions 43 to 863 of the family's 1533-position model. The record is from RNAcentral.